RNAcentral lists this unclassified non-coding RNA (964 nucleotides) under Centruroides sculpturatus (bark scorpion). Its description in RNAcentral is "clavesin-2-like, transcript variant X5". The record is from RNAcentral. Lineage: Eukaryota; Metazoa; Arthropoda; Arachnida; Scorpiones; Buthidae.
UGUUGAGUGCAGAUUUGUUCAUAAUAGACUCUAGUGGGAAAGAAAGGAAGGAUUACUUAACGUGGAAUGAAAAUGAAUUGAAAACGUUCAAGGAAAUGGUUAUUGAACACAAUAUAAAUUGUCGAUUAGACGAUAUGUUCCUCUUGAGCUUCCUUAGAUCCAGAAAGUUCGAUAAAGAAAGAGCAAUUAAAUUAUUAAAAAAUUAUUACUCUACGAGGAAGAAGUAUCCACAUAUAUUCGGGGAAUUUAAUCCUGUGGCCACUAAGAAGUAUCUUGACACGAAAAUUGUUUCGUUUCUACCCCACACGGAUCAAGAUGGUCGAGUUGUGGGAUUGGUCCAAGUCCCCUACUGGGAUCCUUCGAAUGUACACAUGAAAGACGUUUUGAAAUGCCUGUUAAUGUAUCAAGAUGCGGGACUAACAGGACAUUUAAUUCAAGUCAACGGUUUGGUAGUAAUUUGGGAUGCUAAAACAUUAUCGUGGAGUUAAAUGUAAAACAGUAUCGUUUUACAAUUAACUCCAAGCACAAUAUUUUGCAUGACUUCUCUUUUAUUUACAGCCAUUCCAAUUAGAUAUAAGGAAAUUCAUGUUGUAAAUAUUGGAAAAUUUGGAUAUCUUUUUUACAAUGCAUUACGACCGUUUCUUCCGUAUAAAAUUAGAAAAAGGAUCCAUAUACAUAGUUCUGAAAUUGAAUCUCUGCACAAAUUCAUCGAUUCUCAAUUUCUUCCCGAAGAAUAUAAAGGCGAUUUACCUCUUCACGAUCCAGCUGAGUGCAUUGAAGUUAUAUUAAAAUUCCAGGAAUAUUUUGAAGAUAGUCAAAAAUAUUACAGCUGAAAAGAAAAAGAAUUGAAUCGUUUCAGCUAAGAAUUCGUCUAAUUAUUGUAUAAAAUAAUAAACUUUAUCACUAUCCUGGUAUAAUGUAUGUCUAGUAUUUUAUGUAAUUUUUCAAUUUAAUAAAAUUGAUA